Molecule: ribosomal RNA, 232 nt
Filed under: uncultured bacterium
Lineage: Bacteria
Description: partial 16S ribosomal RNA
Rfam family: Bacterial small subunit ribosomal RNA
Source: RNAcentral
GGGUAGCGGAACACGUACGCAACCUUCCUUUAAGUGGGGAAGUAGCCCGGGGAAACCCGGAUUAAUACCCCGUAAUAUUAUGAUGUGGCAUCACUUUAUAAUUAUAGAUUCAUCGCUUAAAGAUGGGCGUGCGCCUGAUUAGGUAGUUGGCGGAGUAAUAGCCCACCAAGCCUGCGAUCAGUAACUGGUGUGAGAGCACGACCAGUCACACGGGCACUGAGACACGGGCCCG